GAUUAUUUGAAGGUUGAUUUGAACUAGCCGGAUUAUUUGAAGAAGGGUUGGAACUACCCGGAUAUUUGAAGGAGGAUUUAAACUCUUUCUCUGAAAGUACCGUUUCAUAACUGUACAAUUAAAACAAAAUAAGGGUUUUAUAUCUAUUACUAUGACUAAUUGACUAUAAUUUAUCACUUAAAUAAAUAAAUCAAUAUCAAAUUAUCAAUUAAACAAACAAAUAAAAAUUAAUUAUAGCUCAAAUAACAUGUCAUGUAGCUUGGUAUUCACUCGAGUUUGCUACUGAUCUUACUAACACAGAGAGAGUUGAAUAACCAAAAAAAUACAAAACAAAAAAAACAAAAAAAAACAAAAAAAAAAACAAAAAUGGAGUUUGCUUAAGAAAAAAAAUGCAUUUGACUUACUUUGGUUUGACAUAGUCAAGAAGGAAAAAAAACACAGGAUUCUUGUGAUGCACACACACUUUGAUGAAAUUAGGUGUCUUUUAUAAAGAGAAUUCUCAAUCCUACUUAAUUAAGGAAUUUCGAAAACCCAAUUGAAUAAAGAGAACCCAAUUAAGUAA
This 562-nucleotide long non-coding RNA is filed under the name Prunus persica (peach). RNAcentral's name for it is "long non-coding RNA (PPER_LNC005053)". The record is from RNAcentral. Lineage: Eukaryota; Viridiplantae; Streptophyta; Magnoliopsida; Rosales; Rosaceae.